RNAcentral lists this ribosomal RNA (289 nucleotides) under Mycobacterium marinum. RNAcentral describes it as "partial 16S ribosomal RNA". It matches the Rfam family "Bacterial small subunit ribosomal RNA", at positions 1 to 337 of the family's 1533-position model. The record is from RNAcentral. Lineage: Bacteria; Bacillati; Actinomycetota; Actinomycetes; Mycobacteriales; Mycobacteriaceae.
UUUUUGUUUGGAGAGUUUGAUCCUGGCUCAGGACGAACGCUGGCGGCGUGCUUAACACAUGCAAGUCGAACGGAAAGGUCUCUUCGGAGAUACUCGAGUGGCGAACGGGUGAGUAACACGUCCGGAUAGGACCACGGGAUUCAUGUCCUGUGGUGGAAAGCUUUUGCGGUGUGGGAUGGGCCCGCGGCCUAUCAGCUUGUUGGUGGGGUAACGGCCUACCAAGGCGACGACGGGUAGCCGGGCGAUCUGCCCUGCACUUCGGGAUAAGCCUGGGAAACUGGGUCUAAUA